GACGAACGCUGGCGGCGUGCUUAACACAUGCAAGUCGAACGGAAAGGCCCUGCCGGUGUGGGGUGCUCGAGUGGCGAACGGGUGAGUAACACGUGAGUAACCUGCCCUUGACUUUUGGAUAACUUCAGGGAACUGGGGUUAAGACCGGAAAGGAGCUCCUGCUGCAUGGUGGGGGUUGGAAAGUUUCGGCGGUUGGGGAUGGGCUCGCGGCUUAUCAGCUUGUUGGUGGGGUAGUGGCUUACCAAGGCUUUGACGGGUAGCCGGCCUGAGAGGGUGACCGGCCACAUUGGGACUGAGAUACGGCCCAGACUCCUACGGGAGGCAGCAGUGGGGAAUAUUGCACAAUGGGCGGAAGCCUGAUGCAGCAACGCCGCGUGCGGGAUGACGGCCUUCGGGUUGUAAACCGCUUUCGGCUGCGACGAAGCGUGAGUGACGGUAAUUAGUAAAGAAGCACCGGCUAACUACGUG
RNAcentral lists this ribosomal RNA (468 nucleotides) under uncultured bacterium. RNAcentral's name for it is "partial 16S ribosomal RNA". It matches the Rfam family "Bacterial small subunit ribosomal RNA", at positions 28 to 507 of the family's 1533-position model. The record is from RNAcentral.